Molecule: ribosomal RNA, 505 nt
Filed under: uncultured bacterium
Lineage: Bacteria
Description: bacterial SSU rRNA
Rfam family: Bacterial small subunit ribosomal RNA
Source: RNAcentral
AAUAGAUACCCGGUAGUACCACACCGUAAACGUUGGCGCUAGGUGUGGGACCUAUUCCAUGGGUUCCGUGCCGUAGCUAACGCAUUAAGCGCCCCGCCUGGGGAGUACGGCCGCAAGGCUAAAACUCAAAGGAAUUGACGGGGGCCCGCACAAGCGGCGGAGCAUGCGGAUUAAUUCGAUGCAACGCGAAGAACCUUACCUGGGUUUGACAUACACCGGAAGCCUCCAGAGAUGGGGGUCUACUUUGACUACUGGUGUACAGGUGGUUGCAUGGCUGUCGUCAGCUCGUGUCGUGAGAUUGUUGGGUUAAGUCCCGCAACGAGCGCAACCCUCGUUCCAUGUUGCCAGCACGUAACUGGUUGGGACUCGAUGGGAGACUGCCGGGGUCAACUCGGAGGAAGGUGGGAGUGACGUACAAGUACAUCAGUCGCCCCGUUAUGUCCGAGGGUCUUCCACGCAUGCUAACAAGUCGGUCCGGUAACAAAAGGGGUCUGCGUACUCCCGU